RNAcentral lists this ribosomal RNA (253 nucleotides) under uncultured bacterium. RNAcentral's name for it is "partial 16S ribosomal RNA". It matches the Rfam family "Bacterial small subunit ribosomal RNA", at positions 524 to 776 of the family's 1533-position model. The record is from RNAcentral.
UACGGAGGGGGCAAGCGUUGUUCGGAAUUACUGGGCGUAAAGGGCUCGUAGGCGGCCAACUAAGUCAGACGUGAAAUCCCUCGGCUUAACCGGGGAACUGCGUCUGAUACUGGAUGGCUUGAAUCCGGGAGAGGGAUGCGGAAUUCCAGGUGUAGCGGUGAAAUGCGUAGAUAUCUGGAGGAACACCGGUGGCGAAGGCGGCACCCUGGGCCGGAAUUGACGCUGAGGAGCGAAAGCCAGGGGAGCAAACGGG